RNAcentral lists this transfer RNA (72 nucleotides) under Ovis aries (sheep). It matches the Rfam family "tRNA". From Rfam's summary of the family: Transfer RNA (tRNA) molecules are approximately 80 nucleotides in length. Their secondary structure includes four short double-helical elements and three loops (D, anti-codon, and T loops). Lineage: Eukaryota; Metazoa; Chordata; Mammalia; Artiodactyla; Bovidae. The record is from Rfam by way of RNAcentral.
UCCCUGGUGGCUCAGAUGGUAAAGCGUCUGCCUGCAAUGCAGGAGACCCAGGUUCGAUUCCUGGAUUGGGAA